UUCGUGUGUGUGUGUGUGUGUGUGUGUGUAUAUAUAUAUAUAUAUAUAUAAAACUCCACACACCCACACACAGUCACACAUGAG
This 84-nucleotide microRNA precursor is filed under the name Podarcis lilfordi (Lilford's wall lizard). The record is from RNAcentral. Lineage: Eukaryota; Metazoa; Chordata; Lepidosauria; Squamata; Lacertidae.